This 879-nucleotide ribosomal RNA is filed under the name Haematoloechus floedae. Its description in RNAcentral is "eukaryotic LSU rRNA". It matches the Rfam family "Eukaryotic large subunit ribosomal RNA", at positions 95 to 629 of the family's 3401-position model. Lineage: Eukaryota; Metazoa; Platyhelminthes; Trematoda; Plagiorchiida; Haematoloechidae. The record is from RNAcentral.
GAACAGGGAUUAGCCCAGCACCGAAGCCUGUGGCCAUUUGGUUACUAGGCAAUGUGGUGUUCAGGUCGUUCCGCGGAGGUUCUGCUCCAUCCUAAGUCCAUCAAUGAGUACGGUAUUAUGGACAUGGCCCAUAGAGGGUGAAAGGCCCGUGGGGGUGGAGAUUCGGUAGGCCAGAACUUCCCUGGGUAGACCUUGGAGUCGGGUUGUUUGUGAAUGCAGCCCAAAGUGGGUGGUAAACUCCAUCCAAGGCUAAAUACUUGCACGAGUCCGAUAGCGAACAAGUACCGUGAGGGAAAGUUGAAAAGUACUUUGAAGAGAGAGUAAACAGUGCGUGAAACCGCUCAGAGGUAAACGGGUGGAGUUGAACUGCAAGCUCUGGGAAUUCAACUGGUGAGUGUGGUUUGAGCUUGGUCAUAUUGGUGGACGUCGGGGUCUGCGUAGAAGCAGGUCUUCGCCUUCGGGUGGGGAUGCGCGAUGCACUUAUCAAGUGUUGUGCGCCUCGGUUGUUCCCGGCCAACUCGCUAGUGCACUUUCUCAGAGUGGUCACCACGACCGACGCCGCUGUCUGGCCGCUGUGGUUAAACCGAGUUUGCAUAGUCCGAGUGGCUUUGCUUGGUCGGGAUGGCAGGUAGCUCGUUGACUUGCUUGUGGUUCGCCGCGAGCGUGGUUUUCGAGUAUAAUCCGCUGACCGUAGUGGUUCUGUGCAGUGUGUCGGGGACGGCGGCUCGAGGUGUGUGCAUGCGUUGCUGUUUGCUGACUGGUCCGAGUUUGGUUAUUUUGUAGCCUGUUCAAUCAGGUCUGGUAGUAGCUCGGAUUUGUUCGGCUGGCGGUGGCGUGUGUGGCAUUGUUCCAAGGGCCAACAGUCUGUGGUGUAGUGGU